CUGGCUCAGGAUGAACGCUAGCGGCAGGCUUAACACAUGCAAGUCGAGGGGCAGCGCGGGGUAGCAAUACUCUGGCGGCGACCGGCGGAAGGGUGCGUAACGCGUGAGCAACAUACCCGUAUGAGGGGGAUAAGCGAUGGAAACGUCGUCUAAUACCCCGUAACAACAGAGACGGCAUCGUCUUCGUUUGAAAGAUUUAUCGCAUACGGAUUGGCUCGCGUGACAUUAGCUAGUUGGCGGGGUAACGGCCCACCAAGGCGACGAUGUCUAGGGGUUCUGAGAGGAAGGUCCCCCCACACUGGAACUGAGACACGGUCCAGACUCCUACGGGAGGCAGCAGUGAGGAAUAUUGGUCAAUGGGCGGAAGCCUGAACCAGCCAUGCCGCGUGAAGGAAUAAGGCCCCUAUGGGUCGUAAACUUCUUUUGUGGUGGAGCAAUAAGGGUGUCGCGCACAUCCGAUGAGAGUACAUCACGAAUAAGCAUCGGCUAACUCCGUGCCAGCCGCGGC
Molecule: ribosomal RNA, 508 nt
Filed under: uncultured bacterium
Lineage: Bacteria
Description: bacterial SSU rRNA
Rfam family: Bacterial small subunit ribosomal RNA
Source: RNAcentral